This 841-nucleotide ribosomal RNA is filed under the name uncultured bacterium. Its description in RNAcentral is "bacterial SSU rRNA". It matches the Rfam family "Bacterial small subunit ribosomal RNA", at positions 60 to 860 of the family's 1533-position model. The record is from RNAcentral.
AGUCGAGCGAGUCUGCCUUGAAGAUCGGAGUGCUUGCACUCUGUGAAACAAGAUACAGGCUAGCGGCGGACGGGUGAGUAACACGUGGGUAACCUGCCCAAGAGAUCGGGAUAACACCUGGAAACAGAUGCUAAUACCGGAUAACAACAGAUGAUGCCUAUCAACUGUUUAAAAGAUGGUUCUGCUAUCACUCUUGGAUGGACCUGCGGUGCAUUAGCUAGUUGGUAGGGUAACGGCCUACCAAGGCGAUGAUGCAUAGCCGAGUUGAGAGACUGAUCGGCCACAUUGGGACUGAGACACGGCCCAAACUCCUACGGGAGGCAGCAGUAGGGAAUCUUCCACAAUGGACGCAAGUCUGAUGGAGCAACGCCGCGUGAGUGAAGAAGGGUUUCGGCUCGUAAAGCUCUGUUGUUGGUGAAGAAGGACAGGGGUAGUAACUGACCUUUGUUUGACGGUAAUCAAUUAGAAAGUCACGGCUAACUACGUGCCAGCAGCCGCGGUAAUACGUAGGUGGCAAGCGUUGUCCGGAUUUAUUGGGCGUAAAGCGAGUGCAGGCGGCUCGAUAAGUCUGAUGUGAAAGCCUUCGGCUCAACCGGAGAAUUGCAUCAGAAACUGUCGAGCUUGAGUACAGAAGAGGAGAGUGGAACUCCAUGUGUAGCGGUGAAAUGCGUAGAUAUAUGGAAGAACACCGGUGGCGAAGGCGGCUCUCUGGUCUGUUACUGACGCUGAGGCUCGAAAGCAUGGGUAGCGAACAGGAUUAGAUACCCUGGUAGUCCAUGCCGUAAACGAUGAGUGCUAAGUGUUGGGAGGUUUCCGCCUCUCAGUGCUGCAGCUAACGCAU